GGGGGCAGCAAGGCCGCCGCGGCGGCGCCCCGGGGUCGCGGCUCCCCUCACCGAUGACGAUGCGCAGGUGCUUGAGGCGGGUCAGCGCGUCCUUCUUGGUGUCCAGCACCUUCUGGGUGGACUUCUUCACGUCCCCGUGCGGCUUCUUAGAGAACAUCCUGCGGCCGCCGCGGCCCCUCCCGGCCGGGUCCCGACGACCCAGCGCAGGCGGUGGGCGGGGAAGAGGCUAGCCGCGGCGGCUCAUGCGUUCCCCCGCGUCCGCCGCUGCCGCGCGGGCCCCGCUGCCAGGCCCGCCUCUCGCCGCCGCCGCCGCACGGAACCUGCAGCCCCGGCUCCAAUAUGGCGGAUCCGCCCCGCGCGCUGCAGCGACGAGGAGACGCGGAGCGGCCGCCGCCGCCCAGGCCGCGGCAGGAAUCCCCACAGCCGCGGAGAGGGAGCGCUCCGCCGCGGCGCCACUCCUCUCUCCCUGAGGCCCCCUUAAGGUUGAAGCGUCUCUAGCAGCUUCAACCCCGCGGAGGCCAAAACCGAGUCGUGUGGUGAUGGAGUUUCACGACUCUGCCGUCGGUGGCGAACGGUCCCCGUGGCAACCGCCUUCUGACGUCAAGUGCUCGUGACGUCAUGUCAGCGUGAGCUCAUUCCUGCCUCUAUAGCCUCUUGGUUUCCUGUGUCUGUAGUAAUGAAGAAGGGCAAGAAAGUUAAGGAAGGUGUUGUCUACUGUGUGCUCCUUGUAAACAGCGGUUCCUAGAGUUUUUGUUGAAAAAGUCGUUCAUCUCCACUCUUUAAACCGCUCUGAGUAACUUAAACAUCAGAACAGAUGUGCAAGGCCAGCUUGAUACUAGCUCUGAAGCCUUGGCUCUGACGUCAUUUCACUUUCUAAUUUGGAUAUUUCCUGUGUUUUGCAAACCGUUCACUUUCUAAUUUGGAUUCUUCCUGCGUCUUGCAAAAUAAUGAUUAAAAAUGUACUGUACUU
This 970-nucleotide long non-coding RNA is filed under the name Mus musculus (house mouse). RNAcentral describes it as "long non-coding RNA chr12:55820610-55821580". The record is from RNAcentral. Lineage: Eukaryota; Metazoa; Chordata; Mammalia; Rodentia; Muridae.